GCCUGUAUCGAAAGGUGGUGGCAGCGUCUUCGUAGCUGCUGUCAUUUAUUACUACAGGCAGAUCAAAUAGAGAGCUUUCCCGUGUUUGAAGGAUCACUCGUUCCUGUCAGACCCUGAUGCUCUCUGACA
This is a small nucleolar RNA of Gambusia affinis (western mosquitofish), 129 nucleotides long. Its record names the gene SNORA71. It matches the Rfam family "Small nucleolar RNA SNORA71". Rfam says of the family: The members of this family belong to the H/ACA class of snoRNAs which bind a number of proteins (including dyskerin, Gar1p and Nop10p) to form snoRNP complexes. This class of snoRNAs are thought to guide the sites of modification of uridines to pseudouridines by forming direct base pairing interactions with substrate RNAs. This family includes U71 (SNORA71), ACA39 (SNORA39) and ACA60 (SNORA60). The record is from Ensembl. Lineage: Eukaryota; Metazoa; Chordata; Actinopteri; Cyprinodontiformes; Poeciliidae.